UCAGAUUGAACGCUGGCGGCAGGCUUAACACAUGCAAGUCGAGCGGUAACAGGGGAGCUUGCUCCUGCUGACGAGCGGCGGACGGGUGAGUAACGCGUAGGAAUCUGCCUAGUAGAGGGGGACAACAUGUGGAAACGCAUGCUAAUACCGCAUACGCCCUGAGGGGGAAAGGAGGGGACUCUUCGGAGCCUUCCGCUAUUAGAUGAGCCUGCGUGAGAUUAGCUAGUUGGUAGGGUAAAGGCCUACCAAGGCGACGAUCUCUAACUGGUCUGAGAGGAUGACCAGUCACACUGGGACUGAGACACGGCCCAGACUCCUACGGGAGGCAGCAGUGGGGAAUAUUGGACAAUGGGCGCAAGCCUGAUCCAGCCAUGCCGCGUGUGUGAAGAAGGCCUUAGGGUUGUAAAGCACUUUCAGGGGUGAGGAAGAGUAGUGGAUUAAUACUUCAUUGCUUUGACGUUAGCCCCAGAAGAAGC
RNAcentral lists this ribosomal RNA (476 nucleotides) under Marinomonas sp. 'Disko Bay 166'. RNAcentral's name for it is "bacterial SSU rRNA". It matches the Rfam family "Bacterial small subunit ribosomal RNA", at positions 24 to 491 of the family's 1533-position model. The record is from RNAcentral. Lineage: Bacteria; Pseudomonadati; Pseudomonadota; Gammaproteobacteria; Oceanospirillales; Oceanospirillaceae.